AGAGUUUGAUCCUGGCUCAGAUUGAACGCUGGCGGCAUGCUUUACACAUGCAAGUCGAACGGUAACAGGGGAGCUUGCUCCCGCUGACGAGUGGCGAACGGGUGAGUAAUGCAUCGGAACGUACCGAGUAAUGGGGGAUAACUAUCCGAAAGGAUGGCUAAUACCGCAUACGAUCUUAGGAUGAAAGUGGGGGACCUUCGGGCCUCACGUUAUUCGAGCGGCCGAUGCCUGAUUAGCUAGUUGGUAGGGUAAAAGCCUACCAAGGCUACGAUCAGUAGCGGGUCUGAGAGGAUGAUCCGCCACACUGGGACUGAGACACGGCCCAGACUCCUACGGGAGGCAGCAGUGGGGAAUUUUGGACAAUGGGGGCAACCCUGAUCCAGCCAUGCCGCGUGUCUGAAGAAGGCCUUCGGGUUGUAAAGGACUUUUGUUAGGGAGGAAAAUUUAUCCAUUAAUACUGGGUAAAGCUGACAGUACCUAAAGAAUAAGCACCGGCUAACUACGUGCCAGCAGCCGCGGUAAUACGUAGGGUGCAAGCGUUAAUCGGAAUUACUGGGCGU
This 560-nucleotide ribosomal RNA is filed under the name uncultured bacterium. RNAcentral describes it as "bacterial SSU rRNA". It matches the Rfam family "Bacterial small subunit ribosomal RNA", at positions 8 to 561 of the family's 1533-position model. The record is from RNAcentral.